RNAcentral lists this ribosomal RNA (253 nucleotides) under uncultured bacterium. RNAcentral's name for it is "partial 16S ribosomal RNA". It matches the Rfam family "Bacterial small subunit ribosomal RNA", at positions 524 to 776 of the family's 1533-position model. The record is from RNAcentral.
UACGUAGGGGGCAAGCGUUGUCCGGAUUUAUUGGGCGUAAAGAGCGUGUAGGCGGCCAUACAGGUCAGCUGUGAAAACUCGAGGCUCAACCUCGAGACGUCGGUUGAAACCGUAUGGCUAGAGUCCGGAAGAGGAGAGUGGAAUUCCCGGUGUAGCGGUGAAAUGCGCAGAUAUCAGGAGGAACACCCGUGGCGAAAGCGGCUCUCUGGGACGGUACUGACGCUGAGACGCGAAAGCGUGGGGAGCAAACAGG